This 1191-nucleotide long non-coding RNA is filed under the name Sorghum bicolor (sorghum). RNAcentral's name for it is "long non-coding RNA (SBIC_LNC005634)". The record is from RNAcentral. Lineage: Eukaryota; Viridiplantae; Streptophyta; Magnoliopsida; Poales; Poaceae.
CGACACAUCUAAUGUGACGCCUAAAAAUUUUUCAUCUCUAAUCUAGUUAGUGUUGAAAUAUUGGCUCAGCAAGUUUCAUGACCAUUCAUAUAGUAUUUUUGUCACUUUAAUUGUUUUUAGAUAAAUAAAACCUGCCACUAGUAAAUAUUUGCCACUUUCUUCAUGUAUGUUCUACGAACCACUUAUUAAGAAUGUCUUUCUUCAUAUUGUUUACAUUUAAAAAUACAUACUUUUCUAACAAAAUCUCAGCGGCUCAAACUAUAAUAGAAAUAUUUAUUUGGCCUAGUUGAUUUACCAUUUUUUAUAUAUUUUGUACGUAUUAUCUAGCGCUUCUAAAAACUCAUUCAAAGUUUUGCCUGCACAAUACUCUCCAUAAUGUUCAUCUUUUCAGGAGAAUGGUUGCAAAAUAUGGAUAUGGCAGGACUUGGUGGAGUACGAGCAUGUAUAGCAGUCUGAAGUCUAAGGAACUAGGAACAAAUAAAAAAGCUAUUUUUUUCUUUUUUGUUUGGUCUGAUUUUUUCAUUUUAUUGUCCAGCAUUGUCACAUGCAUCUUAUAACUGAUCUACCUUUUUAGUACUUAUUAAUCUCGCGUAGGCUUAAUGCACGGUUCGAAGGUUUCUAUACGAGACAUCUGUCUGUGACACCUUUUGUUAUUGUCCUAAAUUCAAGCAAAAUAAAACUUUAUGUUUUUUUUGUAAUAUUCUCUUUACCAAAACUCCCUAGCUGUACUACCUUAUGUUCCUAUAACCUUUUAGCGGUACCUAUUUUCUAUUAGGGCUUGUUUGGUUUCUCGUGUUUUUUAAUAUAUAUCACACUAUAUGUUUAGAUACAUGCAUAGAGUACUAAAUAUAGAUUAUUUGCGAAACUAAAAAUAGAACUAGAGAGUAAUUUGCGAGAUGAAUCCUUUAAAUCUAAUUAGUUCAUAAUUAGACAUUAAUUGUCAAAUAAAAUAAAAAUACUACUAUGUCUGUUAAAUUUUCCAAAUUUUUUUUUGGUAUUAAACAAGGCCUAGGCCUUGUUCACUUGACAAAGAUUUCUAGUUUUCGACACUGUUGCACUUUCAUUUGUAUUUAAAAAUUAUUUUUUAAACUUUAUACUAAUUAGGCUCAAUAGAUUCGCCUCUCAAAUUACAGAUGAAUUGUGUAAUUGAUUUUUUUUAUAUCUAUAUUUAAUGUUUCAUGCAUACGUCUA